Molecule: ribosomal RNA, 451 nt
Filed under: Szepligetella sp. DERV029
Lineage: Eukaryota; Metazoa; Arthropoda; Insecta; Hymenoptera; Evaniidae
Description: partial 16S ribosomal RNA
Source: RNAcentral
AUCAAAAACAUGUCUUUAAGAUUAAAAUUUAAAGUCUAAUCUGCUCAAUGAUUAAUUUUAAAUAGCUGCAGUAUUUUAACUGUACAACGGUAGCAUAAUAAAUAGUUUAUUAAUUGUAAACUAGUAUGAAUGAUUGAAUAAAAUAUAGACUGUUUCAUUUUAAAGGAUAAAAUUUUAAUUUUAAGUUAAAAUGCUUAAAUAAGUUUAAGGGACGAGAAGACCCUAUAGAUUUUUAUACCUUGAGUAGUUUAAAGGAUUUAUUUGAUAUUAGGAAUAUUUCAGGUAUUUAAAUGGGGAAUUUUUAUAAUAAUGUAAUUUUUUAAUUUAAUUUUCAUAGAUAUAUGUUUAGAGUAAUAGGAGUUAAUAAUGAAAAUAAAAAUACCUUAGGGAUAACAGCAUAAUAAUUUUUUUAAGAUCAAAUUUUAAAAGUUGAUUGUGACCUCGAUGUUGC